This 468-nucleotide ribosomal RNA is filed under the name uncultured bacterium. Its description in RNAcentral is "partial 16S ribosomal RNA". It matches the Rfam family "Bacterial small subunit ribosomal RNA", at positions 28 to 507 of the family's 1533-position model. The record is from RNAcentral.
GACGAACGCUGGCGGCGUGCUUAACACAUGCAAGUCGAACGGAAAGACCCUGCUUUUGUGGGGUGCUCGAGUGGCGAACGGGUGAGUAACACGUGAGUAACCUGCCCUUGACUUUGGGAUAACUUCAGGAAACUGGGGCUAAUACCGGAUAGGAGCUCCUGCUGCAUGGUGGGGGUUGGAAAGGUUCGGCGGUUGGGGAUGGACUCGCGGCUUAUCAGCUGGUCGGUGGGGUAGUGGCUUACCAAGGCUUUGACGGGUAGCCGGCCUGAGAGGGUGACCGGCCACAUUGGGACUGAGAUACGGCCCAGACUCCUACGGGAGGCAGCAGUGGGGAAUAUUGCACAAUGGGCGGAAGCCUGAUGCAGCAACGCCGCGUGCGGGAUGACGGCAUUCGGGUUGUAAGCCGUUUGCGCCUGUGACGAAGCGUGAGUGACGGUAAUGGGUAAAGAAGCACCGGCUAACUACGUG